Long non-coding RNA from Clupea harengus (Atlantic herring), 1241 nucleotides. The record is from Ensembl. NCBI's taxonomy places the organism in Eukaryota, Metazoa, Chordata, Actinopteri, Clupeiformes, Clupeidae.
UUGCUGUUGGUAGAGGGCGCUUUGAGAGUUGCUGUAAACAGGAUUGAAGAUUUGGAGCAGCACAACGCGUAUUCCGAUCAUGUAACGUGGACGGUUUGUUGCAGCUGUUGUUGUUGUAGUUGUUGUUGUUGUGGGUUUUGUUGUGGUGGUCGUGGUGGUUGUUGUGGGGGCUUUUGUGGUAGUGGUGGUUGUUGUUGUGGGUGCUGUUGUGGCUGUCGUUGUAGUUGCACCAACUGUUGUGGUAGCUGUUGUGGUAGUGGUGGGAGCUGUUGUGGUAAUGGUGAGAGCUGUUGUGGGUGCGUUUGUGGUUGUGGUGGGAGCUGUUGUGGUAGUUGCUGCAGCUGUUGUGGUAGUUGCUGGAGCUGUUGUGGCAGUUCUAGUUGCUGUUGUGGGGGCCAUUGUGGGUGCUGUUGUGGUAGUGGUGGUAGCUGUUGUGGUAAGUGCUGCAGCUGUUAUGGGGGCUGUUGUGGUAGUUGCCGCAGCUGUUGUGGUAGUUGCAGCAGCCGUUGUAGGGGUUUUUGUGGUAGUGGUGGUAGCUGUUGUGGCUGUCGUUGUAGUUGCAGCAGCUGUUGCUGCAGCUGUUGUGGUGGUUGCAGCAGCUGUUGUGGUAGUUGCUGGAGCUGUUGUGGGUGCUGUUGUGGUAGUUGUAGUUGCUGUUGUGGGGGCCAUUGUGGGUGCUGUUGUGGUAGUGGUGGUAGCUGUUGUGGUAAGUGCUGCAGCUGUUAUGGGGGCUGUUGUGGUGGUUGCAGCAGCUGUGGUUGUUGUAGUCGCUGUAGUUGCUGUUGUAGGUGCUGUUAUGGGAGCUGUGGUAGUUGCAGCAGCUGUUGUGGUAGUUUCUGGAGCUGUUGUGGUAGUGGUGGGAGCUGCUGUGGGUGCUGUUGUGGUAGUUGCUGCAGCUGUUGUGGUAGUUGCAGCAGCAGUUGUGGUGGUGGUUGCAGCAGCUGUUGUGGUGGUUGCAGCAGCUGCUGUGGUAGUUGCAGCAGCUGUUGUGGUGGUUGCUGGAGCGUUUGUGGUGGUUGCAGCAGCUGUUGUGGUAGUUGGAGUAGCUGUUGUGGUAGUUGGAGCAGCUGUUGUGGUAGUUUCUGGAGCUGUUGUGGGUGCUGUUGUGGUGGUUGCAGCAGCUGUUGUGGUAGUUUCUGGAGCUGUUGUGGUGGUUGCUGGAGCUGUUGUGGUGGUUGCAGCAGCUGUUGUGGUAGUUGGAGCAGCUGUUGUGGUGGUUGCAACAGCUGUUGUGGUAGUUG